AGAGUUUGAUCAUGGCUCAGGAUGAACGCUGGCGGCGUGCUUAACACAUGCAAGUCGAACGAAGCACUUUAUUUGAUUUCUUCGGAAUGAAGAUUUUGUGACUGAGUGGCGGACGGGUGAGUAACGCGUGGGUAACCUGCCUCAUACAGGGGGAUAACAGUUGGAAACGACUGCUAAUACCGCAUAAGCGCACAGGGUCGCAUGACCUGGUGUGAAAAACUCCGGUGGUAUGAGAUGGACCCGCGUCUGAUUAGCCAGUUGGUGGGGUAACGGCCUACCAAAGCGACGACCAGUAGCCGACCUGAGAGGGUGACCGGCCACAUUGGGACUGAGACACGGCCCAAACUCCUACGGGAGGCAGCAGUGGGGAAUAUUGCACAAUGGGGGAAACCCUGAUGCAGCGACGCCGCGUGAGCGAAGAAGUAUUUCGGUAUGUAAAGCUCUAUCAGCAGGGAAGAAGAAAUGACGGUACCUGACUAAGAAGCACCGGCUAAAUACGUGCCAGCAGCCGCGGUAAUACGUAUGGUGCAAGCGUUAUCCGGAUUUACUGGGUGUAAAGGGAGCGCAGGCGGUACGGCAAGUCUGAUGUGAAAGCCCGGGGCUCAACCCCGGUACUGCAUUGGAAACUGUCGGACUAGAGUGUCGGAGGGGUAAGUGGAAUUCCUAGUGUAGCGGUGAAAUGCGUAGAUAUUAGGAGGAACACCAGUGGCGAAGGCGGCUUACUGGACGAUUACUGACGCUGAGGCUCGAAAGCGCGGGGAGCAAACAGGAUUAGAUACCCUGGUAGCCCACGCUGUAAACGAUGAAUACUAGGUGUCGGGGAGCAUUGCUCUUCGGUGCCGCAGCAAACGCAAUAAGUAUUCCACCUGGGGAGUACGUUCGCAAGAAUGAAACUCAAAGGAAUUGACGGGGACCCGCACAAGCGGUGGAGCAUGUGGUUUAAUUCGAAGCAACGCGAAGAACCUUACCAAGUCUUGACAUCCCGAUGACAGAACACGUAAUGUGUUUUCUCUUCGGAGCAUCGGUGACAGGUGGUGCAUGGUUGUCGUCAGCUCGUGUCGUGAGAUGUUGGGUUAAGUCCCGCAACGAACGCAACCCCUAUUCUUAGUAGCCAGCGGUUCGGCCGGGCACUCUAGGGAGACUGCCAGGGAUAACCUGGAGGAAGGUGGGGAUGACGUCAAAUCAUCAUGCCCCUUAUGACUUGGGCUACACACGUGCUACAAUGGCGUAAACAAAGGGAAGCGAGCCUGCGAGGGGGAGCAAAUCUCAAAAAUAACGUCUCAGUUCGGACUGCAGUCUGCAACUCGACUGCACGAAGCUGGAAUCGCUAGUAAUCGCGAAUCAGAAUGUCGCGGUGAAUACGUUCCCGGGUCUUGUACACACCGCCCGUCACACCAUGGGAGUUGGUAAUGCCCGAAGUCAGUGACCUAACCGCAAGGAGGGAGCUGCCGAAGGCAGGAUCGAUAACUGGGGCGAAGUCGUAACAAGGUA
This 1491-nucleotide ribosomal RNA is filed under the name metagenome. RNAcentral describes it as "bacterial SSU rRNA". It matches the Rfam family "Bacterial small subunit ribosomal RNA". The record is from RNAcentral.